Molecule: ribosomal RNA, 571 nt
Filed under: Meyerozyma caribbica
Lineage: Eukaryota; Fungi; Ascomycota; Pichiomycetes; Serinales; Debaryomycetaceae
Description: LSU rRNA
Rfam family: Eukaryotic large subunit ribosomal RNA
Source: RNAcentral
UAGCGGCGAGUGAAGCGGCAAAAGCUCAAAUUUGAAAUCUGGCACCUUCGGUGUCCGAGUUGUAAUUUGAAGAUUGUAACCUUGGGGUUGGCUCUUGUCUAUGUUUCUUGGAACAGGACGUCACAGAGGGUGAGAAUCCCGUGCGAUGAGAUGCCCAAUCCUAUGUAAGGUGCUUUCGAAGAGUCGAGUUGUUUGGGAAUGCAGCUCUAAGUGGGUGGUAAAUUCCAUCUAAAGCUAAAUAUUGGCGAGAGACCGAUAGCGAACAAGUACAGUGAUGGAAAGAUGAAAAGAACUUUGAAAAGAGAGUGAAAAAGUACGUGAAAUUGUUGAAAGGGAAGGGUUUGAGAUCAGACUCGAUAUUUUGUGAGCCUUGCCUUCGUGGCGGGGUGACCCGCAGCUUAUCGGGCCAGCAUCGGUUUGGGCGGUAGGAUAAUGGCGUAGGAAUGUGACUUUGCUUCGGUGAAGUGUUAUAGCCUGCGUUGAUGCUGCCUGCCUAGACCGAGGACUGCGAUUUUAUCAAGGAUGCUGGCAUAAUGAUCCCAAACCGCCCGUCUUGAACCACGGAACCAUG